Non-coding RNA from Acanthosepion pharaonis, 111 nucleotides. NCBI's taxonomy places the organism in Eukaryota, Metazoa, Mollusca, Cephalopoda, Sepiida, Sepiidae. The record is from the annotation of a GenBank genome assembly.
CAGCUAUAUCUCAUUGAAGCACUGGUUCUUGUAUGAUCAGCAAAGUUAAGCAACAUCAAGCCUGGACAGUACCUAGAUGGAUGACCAUUUGGGAAUACCAGGUGCUGUAAG